Tupaia belangeri (northern tree shrew) is the source of this 108-nucleotide ribosomal RNA. NCBI's taxonomy places the organism in Eukaryota, Metazoa, Chordata, Mammalia, Scandentia, Tupaiidae. The record is from Ensembl.
GUCUACGGCCAUACCACCCUGAACGCACCCGAUCUUGUCUGAUCUCGGUAGCUAAGCUGGGUGGGACCUGGUUAGUACUUGGAUGGAUGAAAACCUAAAGCCUAAAUU